CUCCAGUCUGGGUAACAAGAGCGAAACUCCAUCUCAAAAAAAAAAAAAAAAAGGACUGAAUCAAACAUUUUCCCUUUUACUCUUUUUCACAGGGCUUGAUGCUACCUGUCUGGUUUCUAGCUCUGACUGAUGUAGAAGGAGGCUACUCUGAAAACUGCUGGGCCAGCUUGCUAACAACCAGAGGACAAAGCCAACACUAAAGAUCACAAAGCAAAGAGACACGAAAGAAAGUUCUCUCUUUAUGACAUUGCUGAGCCACAGAGCCAACCCUCCCUGGAGCCUCCAUAACCUCUGGACUUCUUGCUAUAUGAGGUGGAAGACGAAUUCAAAGCAAGAAGAAACAAUGAUGGACCAAGCGUCAGGACCACCGUUCUAGUCAGUAUUUAGGUGCCAUAUCACCUUUCUGAGCACCAGUUAUCUCAUUUACAGGAUGAAGAGGUUGCCUUAGACAGCAAUUCUCGUCCUGUCUGCCCAUUAGAAUCACCUGGAGAUUUAUAAAAAUAUGGACGGCUGGAUCAUAUCACUAGAUACUGAUUUAAUUGGUCUAGGAAGAGGAGCAGGGGUCGUACA
This is a long non-coding RNA of Callithrix jacchus (white-tufted-ear marmoset), 570 nucleotides long. RefSeq lists it as uncharacterized. Lineage: Eukaryota; Metazoa; Chordata; Mammalia; Primates; Cebidae. The record is from RefSeq and is a predicted model, not a curated record.